ACAAUGAAGAGUUUGAUCCUGGCUCAGGAUGAACGCUAGCGGCAGGCUUAACACAUGCAAGUCGAGGGGCAGCGC
RNAcentral lists this non-coding RNA (75 nucleotides) under Alistipes sp. CAG:831. RNAcentral's name for it is "Bacterial small subunit ribosomal RNA". It matches the Rfam family "Bacterial small subunit ribosomal RNA", at positions 1 to 75 of the family's 1533-position model. Lineage: Bacteria; Pseudomonadati; Bacteroidota; Bacteroidia; Bacteroidales; Rikenellaceae. The record is from Rfam by way of RNAcentral.